UCCUGGCCGUAAACGAUGAACACUAGGUUGGGGGCCUUCGGGUUUCCCUUCCGUAGCUAACGCGUUAAGUGUUCCGCCUGGGGAGUAUGCGCGCAAGCGUAAAACUCAAAGGAAUUGACGGGGGCUCACACAAGCGGUGGAGCAUGUGGUUUAAUUCGAAGCAACGCGAAGAACCUUACCAAGACUUGACAUCUUUGGAUUAGGUCCUGGAAACAGGACUGACGCCCUUCGGG
This 233-nucleotide ribosomal RNA is filed under the name uncultured bacterium. RNAcentral's name for it is "partial 16S ribosomal RNA". It matches the Rfam family "Bacterial small subunit ribosomal RNA", at positions 794 to 1024 of the family's 1533-position model. The record is from RNAcentral.